CCCUACUGCUAUCGGGGUGGGUCUAAGACAUGCGAGUCGAGCGUCUCUAGCUAUGUUGAGACGCGGCGGACGGCUCAGUAACACGUGGCUAACCUACCCUCAGGACAAGGAUAAACCCGGGAAACUGGGGCUAAUACUCGAUAGGCGAAGGCGCCUGGAAUGGUUCUUCACCCAAAGGGCUUUAGAAACAUGCUUCUAAAGUCGCCUGGGGAUGGGGCCGCGUCCGAUCAGGUUGUUGGUGAGGUAACGGCUCACCAAGCCUAUAACCGGUACGGGCCGUGAGAGCGGUAGCCUGGAGAUGGGUACUGAGACAAGGACCCAGGCCCUACGGGGCGCAGCAGUCGCGAAAACUCCGCAAUGCACGAAAGUGUGACGGGGCUACCCCGAGUGCCAUCCGCUGAGGAUGGCUUCUCCUUGGUGUAACUAGCCAGGGGAAUAAGGAGAGGGCAAGACUGGUGUCAGCCSCCGCGGUAAUACCAGCUCUCCGAGUGGUAGGGAUGAUUAUUGGGCUUAAAGCGUCCGUAGCCUGCUUAGCAAGUCUCCUGUUAAAUUCAGCGACUUAAUCGUUGAGCCGCGGGAGAUACUACUAGGCUAGGAGGCGGUAGAGGUCGACGGUACUUCUGGGGUAGGGGUGAAAUCCUAUAAUCCCCGGGAGGACCACCAGUGGCGAAGGCUGUCGACUAGAACGCGCUCGACGGUGAGGGACGAAAGCUGGGGGAGCGAACCGGAUUAGAUACCCGGGUAGUCCCANCCGUAAACGAUGCGGGCUAGGUGUUGGAGUGGCUAUGUGCCACUUCAGUNCCNCAGGGAAGCCAUUAAGCCCNCCNCCUGGGGAGUACGNCCNCAAGGCUGAAACUUAAAGGAAUUGGCGGGGGANCACCNCAAGGCGUGAAGCUUGCGGUUCAAUUGGAUUCAACGCCGGGA
This 924-nucleotide ribosomal RNA is filed under the name uncultured eukaryote. RNAcentral's name for it is "bacterial SSU rRNA". It matches the Rfam family "Archaeal small subunit ribosomal RNA", at positions 22 to 923 of the family's 1478-position model. The record is from RNAcentral.